ACUCCUACGGGAGGCAGCAGUGGGGAAUAUUGCACAAUGGGCGAAAGCCUGAUGCAGCGACGCCGCGUGAGGGACGACGGCCUCGGUUGUAACCUACUUUCUAGUAGGGAACGAAGGCAUCAUUUUGUUGGUGUUGAGGGUACGUUGCAGAAGAAGCACCGGCUAACUACGUGCCAGCAGCCGCGGUAAUACGUAGGGUGCAAGCGUUAUCCGGAAUUAUUGGGCGUAAAGAGCUCGUAGGCGGUUUGUCGCGUCUGUCGUGAAAGUCCGGGGCGUCAACUCCGGAUCUGCGGUGGGUACGGGGCAGGACUAGAGUGAUGUAGGGGAGACUGGAAUUCCUGGUGUAGCGGUGGAAUGCGCAGAUAUCAGGAGGAACACCGAUGGCGAAGGCAGGUCUCUGGGCAUUAACUGACGCUGAGGAGCGAAAGCAUGGGGAGC
This 438-nucleotide ribosomal RNA is filed under the name uncultured bacterium. RNAcentral describes it as "bacterial SSU rRNA". It matches the Rfam family "Bacterial small subunit ribosomal RNA", at positions 335 to 769 of the family's 1533-position model. The record is from RNAcentral.